ACGCGUCGCGCAUGACUGAAUCCUUAUCUCUACGAGCACCAAUCGUUCUCCUUCGGCAGGGCAACCUGCCGUCGGAACCCCCAAAACCCUUCUGCAUCCAGCAUCUACCUGUUCCGAUACCUAUAAUUAUUACAACUUUCAACAAUGGAUCUCUUGGCUCUGGCAUCGAUGAAGAACGCAGCGAAAUGCGAUAAGUAGUGUGAAUUGCAGAAUUCAGUGAAUCAUCGAAUCUUUGAACGCACAUUGCGCCCCUCGGUAUUCCGUGGGGCAUGCCUGUUCGAGCGUCAUCUACACCCUCAAGCCCUGCUUGGUGAUGGGCGUCUGUCCCGCCUCUGCGCGCGGACUCGCCCCAAAUCGAUUGGCAGCGGUCCUUGCCUCCUCUCGCGCAGACCAUUGCGCUUCUCGGGGAGCAGCGGCCCGCGUCCACGAAGCACACCCAAAUUUGAC
RNAcentral lists this ribosomal RNA (447 nucleotides) under fungal sp. Re-H1. Its description in RNAcentral is "eukaryotic LSU rRNA". The stretch from base 134 to 287 matches the Rfam family "5.8S ribosomal RNA". The record is from RNAcentral. Lineage: Eukaryota; Fungi.